CAGUGGUGUAAACAAGCCACGCCCCUUACAAAAAAGGGAUGUGGUUUGUGAUGAAUCUCGAAUUAGCGCCCUUCCUAGGGCCAGGAAGAGACCGUCUGAAUUACAGUUUUAUUUCACAGGCUGAAAUUCCAGCGGCUCCAUCAGAUUGAGUCAUAUAGGAGAAAAAGAGACAAAAAAUUCAGCAGAAGAAAGCGUUAGAGAUUUUGGCUGAAGUGGUAAAGUCUAAGAACUUGUCAGAACUCAGAACAGCUAAUAACAAUAUCUGUAGCCCUGAUGUCUCGACGGGUUUGCUAUAAUCAAAUUAUUAAUUCCUGUG
Halichondria panicea is the source of this 316-nucleotide long non-coding RNA. RefSeq lists it as uncharacterized. Lineage: Eukaryota; Metazoa; Porifera; Demospongiae; Suberitida; Halichondriidae. The record is from RefSeq and is a predicted model, not a curated record. The transcript has 2 exons.